UGAAGCGUGUACCUUCAUUUGUAUUUGAAUGAAAAUAAAUGACAACAUAAUUUUAGCAUCAUUACGCUUGUUUGCCCAGGUAAGUAUCAACAAGUCUCAGUAUUGAACUCGUUUUUACAGUCGGGGGUGAUGGUUGUUUCCCAAUUAAGUUAUUUGCAAGUCUUUUUUUUAAAUGUGGACAAUUUGGACCACGACACGCAAUGCAAUCUUUUUUCGAUCACGGGGGUCUUUAACGUGCAGCAGACGGAGCGCCGUGUGUACAAGGAAGAAUACCCUCCCCGUUCACCACACUGAUGGACCUCUGCAAUCGGUGGCGAAGAAUGCCUUACCGCUCGGUCAUGGCACCACGUCACACAAAAAGAUUCUUGUGAGAGGCGAGAGAGAUGGAGGCGAGCGAGAAGGGAGGAGAGGCAACAAGGAUGGGGAUAAGAGACGUGAAAGCGGGAGAGAGCCCCGCAUUAUUUUUCGCGUAAUAACAACACGCAGCUCGCCGGCUUCCUGCUGAUGACAAGCGCCUCUCAGCGCAUCACGGCAAAAGGUUAUGUGCGUACACACACAUCUCUCCCCGAGAACGUCUCGGCCGUGCGUGUGUAAUGUGUUUGUCCUGGGCCUCUCCUAGGCCACAACAGGAGCACCUGGCAAAAUCUGUAAGCAUCGCCACGAGAAAGACAAGGGCGGCCGGGCGUGGUGCUUUACGGGGGAUCUUUGUCCUUCUGUGCGCUUUUAGUGCGUGUGCUGUAUUGUUUGUGUACCGUUUAGUGUGUGCACGCGACGUGUGUAGUUUUAAUUAAACAUCAUGGGCCAGGUAUGACGUGGCCUCUAUGGUCAAAGAGUUGUUAGCGAUGCAGGACUGAUGGAGUGGAACGUACACUUCGGAUGAGAGGGAAAGGGAAUUAAGAUGGGAGGUCUCGCUGUUUGUUGAAUGGCUUCGGUGCGUACAGGAUGUGACUAGUAAGACGUGGGAUUAAACAAUGUUUUAUGUUGAUCGAACAGCGUCGAACAAGGGGGGAUGGGGGAUCGGGUCAUCAGCCUCACCGGCACAACGACGCCAGAGGACGCACCCACUGGGAGGAAGGGCCAGGUGAAUGAUGAGGGGGUAAGGUGAGGAUAAGGUCAGAUAUGGAGAAAUCUGGUCAGGAGCACUGGGGCUGGACCGGCAGCUCGGACUGUUAAUCCUUAAUCUUAUUUUCUUUGCAAAUACAUCAUUUGCCUACGACCGGUAACCAGCGAUGUCAAGAUCGGCCUCGAUGGAGGUUCAUAAAGGACGCACGCUACUGGGACGUUUGAGGCAGUCGCCCUCCAGCAACAGCAGAGCGCCGGGCGGAUAAGACGCAGCAAGUUGGUACAUUGUGGAGCACAGCUGGUGGGUCUGUCAUCUCAGUCAACCGAAAAACACCUGGGUGUCUACCGUUCCCUUCCGACAGCGAGACGUCGACACUUAACGCGACAUGGAAGUGCAUCUAGCCUGGCACAAGCAGUGGUGAGGUCACCGACACUUAGUGAAUAGCGGCUGCUGCGUGCUUGUAGUCGCGUCUAUACGGUACAUGCAUCACAUUCUCGUAUAUAAAAAAAAACACGAGCAGCAAUAAUGUCACGUUUAUUAUUGUAUAUACAAGCGUGAGCUCUGUUUAUGUACAGUGGGCAGGAAGUCGCUAUACCCCAUUACCUAUGAGUCAUGACAGCUCUUAAGACAAGGGUAUAUUGAAUUCCCACUCGGUCUGUGCAAGAAUCAUAACGUGAAGCCUAUAUUCCUUGAUAAACGGAUCUGUGUGGUGUACAUUGACUCGGGCUGCACCACCUUGGGCUCAUUAAAACAAGACACAAAAACUCACGGUUAUAAAUACAGAUACGAUAAGAUUAACUGUUAACACACCAAGAGAAAUACACGAGAGAACGCAAGAGACGUGAUAUUGACUGUGAAUUGAGCGGUGGCGUCGGCUGGAACAGGACACGUUUAUGCAAAGUGAUCUUUGGUCGGUGGUUGAGACUAACGAUGGUGUGCGAGCCAUGCAGGUCAUCCUACAAGCAGAUGGAGGGGUUCUAAUCAACUCGUGUGCAGAUGCUUCCCUGGACCAUGAGACGCGAUGGUGGAUUGGGGAAGCCUACAUCCAUCCAACAGUGAAUCGAUCAUGGCUGAUGAUGAUGAAGAAAUCAAUGGAGCACAUCGUUGAUUUCGGUGGUUGUGCAGAUGUCCGCGGCGAUGGUAAAUGAGAGGUGUGGGAAUGGGAAACAGUUGAAUGUGUACAUGGGUAGAUUAAAGGAAAUUCACGUCGUAACUUGGGCAAAAGGCCACAUCGAUGUUAUUUCUUCCUCCCCGUUGUGGUAAAUGUGCUGUCCUCUCGUGGCUGCAGGGUUUAUGGGUACCCAAAAAUACACCAAACACGAACCAACAUAAUCAAGUUUGAACGCGUGUAUCGUUAACAGAAGAACGGAUACUACCAGUGAACUGAUCGAUGUUAUCGUUCAAUGUAUAAAAGGAUGAGAAGGGU
Long non-coding RNA from Petromyzon marinus (sea lamprey), 2489 nucleotides. RefSeq lists it as uncharacterized. Lineage: Eukaryota; Metazoa; Chordata; Hyperoartia; Petromyzontiformes; Petromyzontidae. The record is from RefSeq and is a predicted model, not a curated record.